AGCGAACGCUGGCGGCAGGCUUAACACAUGCAAGUCGAGCGGGCGUAGCAAUACGUCAGCGGCAGACGGGUGAGUAACGCGUGGGAACGUACCUUUUGGUUCGGAACAACACAGGGAAACUUGUGCUAAGUACCGGAUAAGCCCUUACGGGGAAAGAUUUAUCGCCGAAAGAUCGGCCCGCGUCUGAUUAGCUAGUUGGUGAGGUAACGGCUCACCAAGGCGACGAUCAGUAGCUGGUCCNCAGAGGAUGAUCAGCCAGACUGGGACUGAGACACGGCCCAGACUCCUACGGGAGGCAGCAGUUAGGAAUUUUGGGCAAUGGGCGCAAGCCUGACCAGGCCAUGCCGCGUGGGGGAUGACGGCCUGUUGGUAA
RNAcentral lists this ribosomal RNA (373 nucleotides) under uncultured bacterium. RNAcentral's name for it is "bacterial SSU rRNA". It matches the Rfam family "Bacterial small subunit ribosomal RNA", at positions 29 to 425 of the family's 1533-position model. The record is from RNAcentral.